Molecule: transfer RNA, 282 nt
Filed under: uncultured bacterium
Lineage: Bacteria
Description: 16S-23S ribosomal RNA intergenic spacer
Rfam family: tRNA (bases 53-125)
Source: RNAcentral
CUAAGGAAAUGGAACCUGUACGUUCGUCUUCUUUAAUUUUGAGAGGUCUUGUGGGGCCUUAGCUCAGCUGGGAGAGCGCCUGCUUUGCACGCAGGAGGUCAGCGGUUCGAUCCCGCUAGGCUCCAUUAACAACGAAUGUUGUUAAGAUUGUCCAUUGAAAAUUGAAUAUCUAUCAAACAUUCCUGAUGUAUAGUAAUAUACAUUAAGAAAUAGUAACAAGAAAAUAAACCGAAAACGCUGUGAAUUAAUGAGUUUUCUAGUUUUCAUAAACUAGGUUAAUAA